Molecule: ribosomal RNA, 497 nt
Filed under: uncultured bacterium
Lineage: Bacteria
Description: partial 16S ribosomal RNA
Rfam family: Bacterial small subunit ribosomal RNA
Source: RNAcentral
GAUGAACGCUGGCGGCGUGCCUAAUACAUGCCAGUCGAGCGAACAGACGAGGAGCUUGCUCCUCUGACGUUAGCGGCGGACGGGUGAGUAACACGUGGAUAACCUACCUAUAAGACUGGGAUAACUUCGGGAAACCGGAGCUAAUACCGGAUAAUAUAUUGAACCGCAUGGUUCAAUAGUGAAAGACGGUUUUGCUGUCACUUAUAGAUUGAUCCGCGCCGCAUUAGCUAGUUGGUAAGGUAACGGCUUACCAAGGCAACGAUGCGUAGCCGACCUGAGAGGGUGAUCGGCCACACUGGAACUGAGACACGGUCCAGACUCCUACGGGAGGAAGCAGUAGGGAAUCUUCCGCAAUGGGCGAAAGCCUGACGGAGCAACGCCGCGUGAGUGAUGAAGGUCUUCGGAUCGUAAAACUCUGUUAUUAGGGAAGAACAAAUGUGUAAGUAACUAUGCACGUCUUGACGGUACCUAAUCAGAAAGCCACGGCUAACUACGUG